AAGACCGUCCCGAUACGAAGACCAGCCGCAGUCAGUCCCUCACCUCAAGAUGGCGGCGGUGGCAGAACCUCUUACUCUCCAACAAGAUGUCAAGAGAGCUGUUGAAUUACUUGAUAAGCUGCAGAAAACGGGAGAAAUACCCUCAGCCAAGCUAGCGGCGCUCCAGCGAGUGCUCCAGUCCGAGUUCCUGACAGCAGUGCGGGAAGUGUACGAACACGUAUAUGAGACAGUUGACAUCUCCGGCUCCCCUGAGAUCCGUGCCUCUGCUACUGCCAAGGCAACUGUAGCUGCCUUUGCUGCCAGUGAGGGUCAUGCACAUCCCAGAGUUGUAGAACUGCCCAAGACUGAUGAGGGGCUGGGCUUUAAUGUCAUGGGAGGACGGGAGCAGAAUUCCCCCAUCUAUAUCUCCCGAAUCAUCCCUGGAGGCGUGGCAGACCGUCAUGGAGGACUCAAGAGAGGAGACCAGCUGCUGUCAGUCAAUGGAGUGAGCGUGGAGGGUGAGAACCACGAGCGAGCCGUGGAGUUGCUGAAAGCUGCCAGUGGCUCAGUGAAGCUGGUGGUGCGCUACACCCCACGAGUGCUGGAGGAAAUGGAGAUGCGGUUCGACAAACAGCGGGCGUCACGUAGGCGAACUUCCCAGUUACAGUAGAAAGCCCUAGUGGAGGAGUGGCGAGGCUGGGGCUGCUCCGUGCCAGUGAUGGGGGACAGCCGGCCAGAUGUCUUGGGGGGACAGAUGGCUCAGUGGUAGAGUGCUCAGCUAGUGGCCACAAUGAGUGUGGCAGGCAGUGGAACUGAACACCUGUGGCAGCUUACAGCAGACACCAAGAGUCACCACCACACUCACACCACUGAGGUUGCUCGUGUGGCCAGCCAUUGGUAUCGAUGCUUACUGAAAAUGUUAUUACCAGUUUGUUGACAAUUUAAGGCUUUUUGCACCAAGACCCAACAGGGCAUUUGUGGCUUAACACCUUCAGCCUCCCUGGAUCACCAUCACCUUUGUGCCCUUCCUUGUAUGUUAGAAAGUUACUUAUACAUAAUGUUCUUGCAUAGUCAUUCUGCCUUUGAAAGACAGAGUUUUUGGAGGUUUUAUAGAUGAAGGUUGUACAACGUUGAGGCUAAGUUCCAUUAAAGCUAUGCAGUCUUUAUCUGCCUUGUGAUGUUGGAGCACUUUUGCAGCAUUAUUGAAAAGGAAGUUCAUAUCUGUAUCACAGAAAUUUUAUUUCAAAAUUGGUACUCUUCAAAAUUAGAUAUCUUUUCCUGCACUAAUAUUUCAUAAGUGUUUGUGUCUUUGUCAUUUAGAAAGCGUCAUGUGUUCUGUGUGAAGUCAUGGUGUUCCUGCAGAUAGUAAGCACAUUUAUAACAUUUUAAUAUAUAUUAUCUGUUCCCUCUCCUAACCUUGCUGCUUCCCUUCCUCCUUAAUUUAAGAGGUCAUCCUGGCAUAAAGAAUUAUUCAAAGUGGAAUACUGUUAUAUAAUUUUUGUUCAAGAUAGUAAUGCUGUUGAUGGAGGGGGUUUUCAGUAAAAACAUUCCAUUUGUAAUUCUCCAUAUGGCUCUAUGAUAAGGGUUGUUUUCCAUGCAGAAGGUGCUGCUAAGCUGAAAUCUCAUUCAUUAUAGCAUGUUUAUUUCAGUUAUUUAACAUAUAAUUUGUGUAUUUUCAUAUAUUUCAUAAAUCACUAUCUGUAUAAAAAAUGCAUUUGUCACUGCAUAUACUUACAAAAUGUUCUGUUCAAUAUUUUUGAGUGGUAGCAUUUUAUGUUUUAAGAUUUAUUUGAAGUCUACUGUUGAAAUCUGUCAGAUGUUAUUGUGAAUUCAGCAUGACACGUCACCAGCAGGGGGAUAUUGCUUUGAGUGUAAACCCAUAAAUUGCUGUGACAAGCAGCCAGACCCAUGGCUUUGAUUACAUGCAGCACACCCCAUCAUGGCUAAAAGUUUGAAUGCUUGCUUUGUUGUAAACCACUGCACAUCACUUGAAAAUGUCGAUAUCCGUGAAUCUCAGCUUGCAGGAUUCUAUGAUGAAACUGAAAAUAUUGUCACUGCUGAUGCUUUGGUAUGCCAGACCUAUUCAGUGUUGACUCAUUCAUUUCAAGGAGCCAGAGAUGAUGUAUUCAUUGAUUUAUGGCUUACCAAAGUUGUUUGACACAGUUUUGACCGUUGCUUGGAUUAGGACGUGUCCUGCAGCCAGUAUCUAUUUGUUUUCUUGAUUGUUAAGGGUGAUUGAUGGAAUAAGGUUGCUAUUUCUUGAAUUUCCUCAGUUGAGAGCUACCCAGCAUACAUGAAGUUCAUGUACUAUAGUUAUUGUUAUGAUUACAUACAUUGUAUUGCAUUAAUUACGUUAUUGUAAAGGAAAUAAUGACAUGCUGAUCAGUUUGCUUUGCUGGGAAUGUGUUGAUGCCAGACUGAUAAGGGUGCCACUAGUCAUGAUUGUGCUCACAGCCUUGGAUUAUUAGAAAAUGUGAAUAUAUAAUACUAUUUUCCACUAUUUAUAUUUCUAUUUAAUGUGAGAAGGUGAGGAAAGUAAAGUGCUUUUCAUUAUUAUAGUAUGCAUAACAUACAUACUGUACCAGUUUAAUCUUUAGACUACAGACUAUGAAGGCAUUUAUGAUGUACAGUAAUGCAAGUUUUGCAUACAGGCCAUGUUAAUGAAUUCAGGUACAGCCAGUGGGAGUCACUUGAGAGAAUAGUAGCUACUGUAGAGAACUUAUAUGUUUACCAAGUAUGAGGGAUAAUUUGUAUUUAGACAAUUACAGUAUUAGUCAUGAAUGUUGGAUCCCAUGGCUGUAAAAAGAUGUAAUGUUUGUCACUAUUGACUAGUACAUACUCAUUGUCUUAACAAAAAGGGAAGGGAGGAAAGGUGGGGUGGUGGGAGAGUGAAAGGAAUGAUGGAUGAAGAAGCAGGGGAGGGGGUCAAGGGGUCCAAACUAAUGACUAGUACUGUAGCGUUUUUUUUUUUUGUUCCCUUGGUCCCGAGAUAUCCACAGUAGCAGAGCAUAGCAUCUUGGUGGGUGGUGGAGGCCUUGAGGGGGUAGCUAGUAAUUUAUCAGUGCUGGAGGCUUUGUCCCUUCCUUACCUGUGACUUAUUGUAUGACCAUUGUUUAUGAACACUGUAGCUAUGGUUAGGUGUAUAGUGUUUAUAUAUAAUAGAUGUAGAUCAUGUAUGUACCCUGUCAUGUACAUUUUUUUUUUUUUCCUAAUGUAAAUGUUUCCUUUUA
Molecule: RNA transcript, 3209 nt
Organism: Portunus trituberculatus (swimming crab)
Lineage: Eukaryota; Metazoa; Arthropoda; Malacostraca; Decapoda; Portunidae
Gene: veli
Gene name: protein lin-7 homolog C-like
Exons: 7
Source: RefSeq, a predicted model, not a curated record